RNAcentral lists this ribosomal RNA (467 nucleotides) under uncultured bacterium. RNAcentral's name for it is "partial 16S ribosomal RNA". It matches the Rfam family "Bacterial small subunit ribosomal RNA", at positions 28 to 507 of the family's 1533-position model. The record is from RNAcentral.
GACGAACGCUGGCGGCGUGCUUAACACAUGCAAGUCGAACGGAAAGGCCCUGCUUUUGUGGGGUGCUCGAGUGGCGAACGGGUGAGUAACACGUGAGUAACCUGCCCUUGACUUUGGGAUAACUUCAGGAAACUGGGGCUAAUACCGGAUAGGAGCUCCUGCUGCAUGGUGGGGGUUGGAAAGUUUCGGCGGUUGGGGAUGGACUCGCGGCUUAUCAGCUUGUUGGUGGGGUAGUGGCUUACCAAGGCUUUGACGGGUAGCCGGCCUGAGAGGGUGACCGGCAACAUUGGGACUGAGAUACGGCCCAGACUCCUACGGGAGGCAGCAGUGGGAAUAUUGCACAAUGGGCGGAAGCCUGAUGCAGCAACGCCGCGUGCGGGAUGACGGCCUUCGGGUUGUAAACCGCUUUCGCCUGUGACGAAGCGUGAGUGACGGUAAUGGGUAAAGAAGCACCGGCUAACUACGUG